GACUUUAGUGCACCAUUUUGCCGCUCUCCAGUUAGUAUAAAAGCAUGAGUCCAUAGCUUUUCUGGGUGUGUGCUGCUGUUGGUGAAAGCAGAGGCUGUGGAAUUCUGCAUUUACUCUGUGAGGUUGAGUUCCGCUAGAAUCUGGCCAAGUGUUUUUUCGGCAGUGAUUGUUGCCAUUUUAGCAUGUCGUGUGGAAGCUGUGUCACAAGGAUUUAAAUGCUUCCUCAAUCGGUGUGGGUUUCUUGGAUAGAAAUGCGUAAAAAUAGGUCUUCGGGGUUCAUGACAAGCAGGCGGAGAGGCUCUGCAAAUAUUUCAUGCUGUUCACGUCUGCUUCUAGAGGCUAAGCAUAGUAGGGGUUCAAAAAUACAGUAGAAGGCUCACAAGAGAGCUUCAGGAUCCAGCAGCUCAUGAAGGAUUGAACCAUGAUCGUGGUUCUGAUAACAGCUGCGGCACUGGCAAUGGCAGCCUUCUCAGUGGCUCACGCUACAAGCCACGCGGUGGGAGGCACGGCGGGGUGGACCUAUGGAUUUGACUACGCGGACUGGGCUAACAGCACUUCAGCCACACCUGGUUUCUUUGACAACGACGUCCUCCGUAAGAAACCACACCGUAACUGCAAUCUUCUUAUCCUCCUUGCUAUCCCUCACACAAAUUGAGCUUGAAAAUUCUAUAACCAGUACUUGCAGGAAAUAUUCAAUAGCCAACUAGAAGUAGCAUUUGUACACAGAAGCCGGGGAUCAUCGUAAGGAGCACAACUUUAUCUACACUUCUGCAUUGAGUCUUGUGGGUUUCCAGAAAGGGCUUGAAUCGCCGCAAGUUUCAAACGGGGUCGGUUAUAGGGCGUUGUUUUCACUCCAGGGAUCCCAAGCUUGGUAUUUAUCAUGCUCCCCAUAGUUUUGUAGUUCAUGGAUUUUACACGUCCAAUACUUUUACUUGUGAACUUAACACAUCGUGUUUCAUUUGGUGUUUGCUUCUACAUAUCACUUAUAUACAGCAAUUUUAUAAUUUUUAAUA
Non-coding RNA from Physcomitrium patens, 1013 nucleotides. The record is from RefSeq and is a predicted model, not a curated record. Lineage: Eukaryota; Viridiplantae; Streptophyta; Bryopsida; Funariales; Funariaceae.